AACGAACGCUGGCGGCAUGCCUAACACAUGCAAGUCGAACGAGACCUUCGGGUCUAGUGGCGCACGGGUGCGUAACGCGUGGGAACCUGCCCUUAGGUUCGGAAUAACUCCCCGAAAGGGGUGCUAAUACCGGAUAAUGUCUUCGGACCAAAGAUUUAUCGCCUUUGGAUGGGCCCGCGUUGGAUUAGCUAGUUGGUAGGGUAAAAGCCUACCAAGGCGACGAUCCAUAGCUGGUCUGAGAGGAUGAUCAGCCACACUGGGACUGAGACACGGCCCAGACUCCUACCGGAAGCAGCAGUGGGGAAAAUUGGACAAUGGGCGUAAGCCUGCUCCAGCAAUGCCGCGUGAGUGAUGAAGGCCUUAGGGUUGUAAAGCUCUUUUACCCGAGAUGAUAAUGACAGUACCGGGAGAAUAAGCGCCGGCUAACUCCGU
This 432-nucleotide ribosomal RNA is filed under the name uncultured bacterium. RNAcentral describes it as "partial 16S ribosomal RNA". It matches the Rfam family "Bacterial small subunit ribosomal RNA", at positions 29 to 506 of the family's 1533-position model. The record is from RNAcentral.